This 520-nucleotide ribosomal RNA is filed under the name Scylla serrata (giant mud crab). RNAcentral's name for it is "partial large subunit ribosomal RNA". It matches the Rfam family "Bacterial large subunit ribosomal RNA", at positions 1844 to 2610 of the family's 2925-position model. The record is from RNAcentral. Lineage: Eukaryota; Metazoa; Arthropoda; Malacostraca; Decapoda; Portunidae.
UAUUUAUAGUCUAGCCUGCUCACUGACAAAAAGUGUUAAAUAGCCGCGGUAUUUUGACCGUGCAAAGGUAGCAUAAUCAUUAGUUUUUUAAUUGGAAACUUGUAUGAAUGGUUGGACAAAGAAAAGACUGUCUCUUUUAUUAAAAUUGAAAUUAACUUCUAAGUGAAAAGGCUUAGAUUUUCUAGAGGGACGAUAAGACCCUAUAAAGCUUCAUAAGUUAAAUAAAUUAGAUGGAUUUUUAGAAUAAAAGUAAAUUUAGUAAGCUUAUUUAGUUGGGGCGACAAGGGUAUAAAAUUAAAUAACUGCUAUUAAGGUUAGACAAUUAUAUUUGGUUGGAUUGUAAUUGAUCCUCGCUAUGGAUUAAAAGAUUAAGUUACUUUAGGGAUAACAGCGUAAUUUCUUUUAAGAGUUCUUAUCAAAGGAGAAGUUUGCGACCUCGAUGUUGAAUUAAAAUGUCUUUAUAGUGCAGAAGCUAUAAAGGAAGGUCUGUUGGACCUUUAAUUUUUUACAUGAUUUGAGU